RNAcentral lists this ribosomal RNA (427 nucleotides) under uncultured bacterium. RNAcentral's name for it is "bacterial SSU rRNA". It matches the Rfam family "Bacterial small subunit ribosomal RNA", at positions 355 to 774 of the family's 1533-position model. The record is from RNAcentral.
UGGGGAACUUUGGACAAUGGGCGCAAGCCUGAUCCAGCAAUGCCGCGUGCAGGGUGAAGGCCUUCGGGUUGUAAACUGCUUUCGUACGGAGCGAAAAGGUCUGCCCUAAUACGGUGGGCUCAUGACGGUACCGUAAGAAUAAGCACCGGCUAACUACGUGCCAGCAGCCGCGGUAAUACGUAGGGUGCGAGCGUUAAUCGGAAUUACUGGGCGUAAAGCGUGCGCAGGCGGUUAUAUAAGACAGAUGUGAAAUCCCCGGGCUCAACCUGGGACCUGCAUUUGUGACUGUAUAGCUAGAGUACGGUAGAGGGGGAUGGAAUUCCGCGUGUAGCAGUGAAAUGCGUAGAUAUGCGGAGGAACACCGAUGGCGAAGGCAAUCCCCUGGACCUGUACUGACGCUCAUGCACGAAAGCGUGGGGAGCAAACA